GAUGAACGCUGGCGGCGUGCUUAACACAUGCAAGUCGAACGGAAAGGCCCAAGCUUGCUUGGGUACUCGAGUGGCGAACGGGUGAGUAACACGUGGGUGAUCUGCCCUGCACUUCGGGAUAAGCCUGGGAAACUGGGUCUAAUACCGGAUAGGACCACAUUUUGGAUGGUGUGGUGGAAAGUUUUUCGGUGUGGGAUGAGCUCGCGGCCUAUCAGCUUGUUGGUGGGGUAAUGGCCUACCAAGGCGUCGACGGGUAGCCGGCCUGAGAGGGUGUACGGCCAAAUUGGGACUGAGAUACGGCACAGACUCCUACGGGAGGCAGCAGUGGGGAAUAUUGCACAAUGGGCGCAAGCCUGAUGCAGCGACGCCGCGUGGAGGAUGACGGCCUUCGGGUUGUAAACUCCUUUCGCUAGGGACGAAGCGCAAGUGACGGUACCUGGAGAAGAAGCACCGGCUAACUACGUG
This 465-nucleotide ribosomal RNA is filed under the name uncultured bacterium. Its description in RNAcentral is "partial 16S ribosomal RNA". It matches the Rfam family "Bacterial small subunit ribosomal RNA", at positions 28 to 507 of the family's 1533-position model. The record is from RNAcentral.